GCCGGAAUGGCGGAAUUGGUAGACGCAAGGGACUUAAAAUCCCUCGAAUGACAACAUUCGUGCCGGUUCGAUUCCGGCUUCCGGCA
RNAcentral lists this transfer RNA (86 nucleotides) under Candidatus Zixiibacteriota bacterium. Its description in RNAcentral is "tRNA-Leu". It matches the Rfam family "tRNA". Rfam says of the family: Transfer RNA (tRNA) molecules are approximately 80 nucleotides in length. Their secondary structure includes four short double-helical elements and three loops (D, anti-codon, and T loops). Further hydrogen bonds mediate the characteristic L-shaped molecular structure. tRNAs have two regions of fundamental functional importance: the anti-codon, which is responsible for specific mRNA codon recognition, and the 3' end, to which the tRNAs corresponding amino acid is attached (by aminoacyl-tRNA synthetases). tRNAs cope with the degeneracy of the genetic code in two manners: having more than one tRNA (with a specific anti-codon) for a particular amino acid; and 'wobble' base-pairing, i.e. permitting non-standard base-pairing at the 3rd anti-codon position. The record is from RNAcentral. Lineage: Bacteria; Pseudomonadati; Candidatus Zixiibacteriota.